CUUGGGAGACGGGGAAGAUGAAGCCACCUAAUCGCCUUUUCAAAGCUGGGGCCUUGAGAGGAGGUAACGGGAGAAAAACUACAAAUCCCAGAACCCUCUGCUCCUCGGCGAGUCACGGAUGGUUGCCAUGGUUUCAGAAAACAAUAUGGCUGCUCCCAGCUGGGACACAAGUCUUGGGAUUAGAGAGGCAAAGUCGGGUCUGGGCGGCGGCAGCGGCGAGAGAGGAGGCGCUUGAGGGAUCGUGAGGUUGGGCUUGGACGCUGCACAGCUGGAACGGCCUGGCCUUGCCGAGGGCACCAAUGGCGGGCAGCGUGGACGAGGAGGCGCUGCACCAGCUGUACCUGUGGGUGGACAACAUCCCUCUGUCCCGGCCCAAGCGAAAUCUCUCCCGGGACUUCAGUGACGGAGUCCUGGUCGCAGAGGUCAUCAAGUUUUACUUCCCCAAGAUGGUGGAAAUGCACAAUUAUGUCCCUGCCAACUCUCUCCAGCAGAAGCUCAGCAACUGGGGUCACCUGAACAGGAAGGUGCUGAACAAGCUGAACUUCUCGGUACCAGAGGAUGUGAUGCGCAAGAUUGCCCAGUGUGCCCCGGGCGUGGUGGAGCUGGUGCUCAUUCCACUGAGGCAGCGCCUGGAGGAACGGCAGAGGCACAGGAAGCAGGGCGUGGGCUCCUUACAGGAGCUGGCCCCCCAGGAUGGCACUGACUACAUGGAUGUGGGUUUGUCCCAGAAGGCCCCAGGGGAAGGUGCCCCAGACCCCCAGGGAGGGGGGCAGCUCAGGCGGGGUCGGCUGCCAGCGCCCCGGCCUCCAGGGUAUACCCAGGCGCUGCAGGGCGACCCAAGCUUCGUCCUCCAGAUCGCUGAAAAGGAGCAAGAGCUGUUGGCCUCGCAGGAGACCGUGCAGGUCCUGCAGAUGAAGGUGAGGCGUUUGGAGCACCUGCUCCAGCUCAAGAACGUGCGCAUCGAAGACCUCUCCCGGCGGCUCCAGCAGGUGGAGCGUAAGCAGCGUGAGUUCCUGCCCACCUUGGCUGCCUCCCACCCCUUGAGUGGAAGAACCUUGUAGGCCCAGAGUGGGUCUCACCUUGUGGGCAUGUGGGCCCUGGGUGGCCAUUGCUUGACUGAUCCCAAGUUCUGUGGACUGAGGCCAACCUUGACUCCCAACCCUGACCAAGAUGCCAUGGCCAUGGUGUGACCCUAACUCUGAUCAUUUACUGACUACCAGUAGCAUUGAAAAUUUGUAAAUCCUGAGACCUCAAAAUUCUGCUUCUAGGCAUAUGCUCAGUAUAUACCCAGGGGAAACUUAAUCUCUUGUGUUCUGUGUUCUGUAACACAUGUACAGCAAUGUUCAUAGCAACAUUCUUUGUAAUAGCAAAAGAACUUGUGUUAUCUAUUACCAUGUAAGAAAUUACUACAAACUUAGUGGCUUUGAAUAGCAUACAUUUAUUAUCUCAAGAGUCCAGGCAUGGCUUAGCUGGGUUCUCUGCUUCACAGUUUCUCACAAGGCUGCAGUCAAAGUAUUGACCAAAGCAGUGGUCUCAUCUGAAGGCUUGAUUGGGGAAGGACUCACUUCCAAGUUCACUUGGUUGUUGAUAGAAUUCAGCUCCUGUGGGCUGUUGGCCUGAGGGCUUCAGUUUCUUGAAGGUUGUUAGCUGGUGGCUGCCCUCAUUUCCUUGCUAUGUGGCCAUCUCCAGUAUGGUAGUUUACUUCAUCAAAGCCAGCGAGGGAGAGAGUUAACAAAGUCUGCUAGCAAGAUGGAAGUUACAGUCUUAUCUAAUGUAAUCAUAGAAAUGACAUCCAUCACAUUUGUCGCAUCCUGUUUACUAGAAGUAAGUCACUAGGUCCAGCCCACAUUCAAGGGGAGAGGUACACAUAGAUGUGAAUACCAGGAGGCAGGGAUCAUUUUAGAAGCUGUCAACCACAAAGAGGAAAAAGCAAUGAAAGGAUAAAAUCUAGCAUAGUGGUUACCUCUGAGGAAGCAGAGGCAGAGAUGCAAGAAGCACAUGAGUAAAUAUUAUUUGUAAUAUCUUAGUUCUUGGG
Equus quagga is the source of this 2035-nucleotide RNA transcript. It is a transcript of the gene named sperm flagellar 1, with no coding region annotated. The transcript is spliced from 9 exons. Lineage: Eukaryota; Metazoa; Chordata; Mammalia; Perissodactyla; Equidae. The record is from RefSeq and is a predicted model, not a curated record.